UGAAAAUAAUGCAUUGCUGAUAUAGUAGCAAAAUGGAUAGUUCAUUGUUGUAGAAAGCAGCAGCCAGAAGGAAUCAUAAUGUGCAAAAUGAGUAUGCCACUGUUGCUUAUUCUCACACAUCGGUUUGCUACUGCAAGUACAAAUAUGAUCUCAGAAAGAGCUACUACACUAAUAUUCCAUAGUGAAAGCCAUCAGAUGAUGGAACAAAUUUGUGUUGGUGUCAAUCCAGUCCUUUGAGAUCAUAUUUAGCAAAUGCAUCACUACCUAGACAUAAAAAAUAUAGAAAACACCAUAAUAAUAAAUAAUGUAAAAUAUGGACUAUAUUCAAAUUCCAUUAACAUCCUACAGAUUUGGUUAAUUGGAAGAUAUAUAUUACCCACCUCAUUAAAAGUGUAGUAGUCUACUGUCUGUUAGUGAUGCCUGUCUACGAACAACCCAAUAUCACCACCUAUUCAUAUUCAUAUGGUCAAAUAAAAGGAAAUCAAUGCUAUGGUCCAGCCCCAUACGACAUAAAAAUGUUACACAAAUGUGGAGAACAUACAUGGAAAAUUUAUUUGCCUCCAUAUGUAGUCCUGCAAAUCACAUGAGAAGACUGUAAUUUUACAUAAAUCUAUUUAUAUGAAUCUACAUCAAACCUGACUGAGAAAAGGAGAUGGCAAAUCAAGAUCAGCAAGAUGACCAGCUGUACACCAACAUAGGCAAACAUUUAACUCAAUAAUCACCAAACAGAUUAUCCCAAUUUGCCAUGCCAAAACGUACAGCUUCAUAAGAAAAGAGAGGUAGGCAAUAACAUAAACUGGGUAUGAAUUAGCCUGCCCAGAAUGAAGAAAAAAUAUUAUCCAUAAGGUAAGAAUAUCAUUUAUCAAUACUACCUGCAAAGCUUAGCAUGUGAAACAAACUUUACUUCCAAAGUGCAACCUGUAUAAGUAACAGUUCCGUCAGUUUAGGAUGCAGGGCUGGAAAAAUAAUGUAAAUAGUGGUAUUAAAAUAAGAGUUAUUGAAUUUUUUUUAUCGUAUAAGAGUUAUUGAAUUGAAGGUAUUAAUGUAGGCUCUUUUAUUUGCGAUAAUUCAAGGCAUAAUGGAAAUUGGAAAAUCAAAGAACAAAAAGGAUCAUGAACAUGAAAAUUAGAUCUUCAACAUGGAUACCUGUUGUGUCGAGAGAAAUAUCAUGGUUGUAUGUUAAACCGAGAAAAAAAACUGCAGAGUAGAAGAGGAAGGAAGGCGUCAGACAUGCGCAUUGUGAUGGGCGAUUUUUAAGCUAGAUGAGGGUGCGCACUUAAGAAAUUAACUAAAAUUGCCGAGGAGUAACUGCAGGGACAAUAAUUGCAGCGAAUAAAAUAGUAAGUUUCAGCGACCUGCUCCUUCCAAUUCGGGGCCGUGACGGGGAUGGCUUGCAGACCAUGGUGGCGGCGGGAGACGCCGGCGUCCUGCUCAUUCCUGAG
This 1442-nucleotide long non-coding RNA is filed under the name Triticum aestivum (bread wheat). RNAcentral's name for it is "long non-coding RNA (TAES_LNC022159)". The record is from RNAcentral. Lineage: Eukaryota; Viridiplantae; Streptophyta; Magnoliopsida; Poales; Poaceae.